ACAGAGCACAUUGAGUGCCUGACAUACAUCAUGCUGUUCGGCAACGAGGCCCCUUUCCAUCUAAAGCCGAUUCCGUACCGCGGUGUCCGCAAGCACCAGGCAGAGGUGCUGCAGCAUCCGCCCGGCUAUAAACACCCGAUCAUUCCUCUUCCGCCUUGCUCAGCGUUGGAAGUCACAGCAGUACGACCCAGCGGGAGCGGCACCGCAGCGCACUUGUCGCGCUCGUCUGCCUCUCUCUCACCGGCCUCCUCGGUGAAUUCAGGCAGCACUCCUGGGACCUUAUCAUGCACAUCAUCAAACCGCCGGGCAGUGGAUCCCGCUGCUGCUUCUGCACUCUACAGAGUGGCACCACCGAAUCUACUGCAGCAGCAGCAGCACAACCCGCGCAUGCGCCGUGACAGCGGACGGGGCGGCGAUGCCUUUUUAGCGGAUGCAGAGCGACUUGAUCCGGACAUAACGGCCGAUGCUGCUCUUCGUCAGGAGCGCGUGUGCGAGCGCCGAAAGCUUCGUGCAUACCAGCAGGCUCGCCGCGAGCGGGCGGCAUCGCGCGAGGCGACGCUACAAGCCUCCCGCAACGCGGCCUUUGAAGCAGAGUGUAGGCGACUCGCCAACGUAGCUGGCACAGCGCGCAGCAAUCGAGAGCAAGACGACCGUGAUCCUAUCACCCAUCAAUGCUACACAGCGGAGGCGGAGCAGUUGCUGAUGGAUCGCAACUCUCACGUGCGCACCCGCUAUGCCGCACGCCAGCGGUUCCUCGACCGGCAGAUGAACUCAACGGAGUAUAAUAUCCUUACCUGGCAGCUUCGAUAGCACAUGGAGGAUGAGUCGGUGAGGUGCUUGCCGACGCUCUUGAGCUGAUGGCGGAUUGAGGCGGAUGGGGAGGGCUUGCCAUGAUGCUGCCUACGUAGCUUGCUUGCUCUCUCCGACUGUAUUUCGCAACUUCUGAGGUCUUUUUCUGCACACCGUGCAUAGCGCCUUCUCCCUCUCUCUGCCCGGGCCGCCGUCGUUUCUCACCACUGUGGGCCGUUCUGUAGAGGGAGGGACCGGCACUCUUCGAUGUAUAGCCGAGUCAUGUGUCUCUUGUCUGCCUUGUGUGAUCGCACGCUUCGCUUUUGUGUCCGGCAAAGUUUUCCGGCCUCUCUUGCUCCUGUGCCCGCGAGCUCCCUUCCACCCCCCCUCCCCCAAGGGCCGCCUCUCGCCAUACCCUUUAUGCUUGUGCUUGCUUGUGUGUGGAUGUGUCGAUGCCUCGUGUUGCGGCGGAUACGGAGACCGCGAGAGACACAAAGAGGCAUGCAUGGCUCGUUUUCUUUUUGCCCCAUCAGCUC
Molecule: unclassified non-coding RNA, 1325 nt
Filed under: Leishmania donovani
Lineage: Eukaryota; Euglenozoa; Kinetoplastea; Trypanosomatida; Trypanosomatidae
Description: gene:LdHU3.27.2820(CDS-product:hypothetical_prote in_conserved)
Source: RNAcentral